UUCAACGAUUAUUCACCAUCUAUAAGUAAGGAGUUCUGUUUCUUUCCUACUAAGACUGCUUAUGAUCCCUCUGAGUCCACUUCAAGCAUGUGGAAUUCAGAGGGUGAAGAUCGGAGUUUGGAGCCAACUUUAAAGAAGCGCAAAGCAACUUUUAGAAACAAUGAAGAGGAUGGGCAAUUUUUCUGCCAGCCACCUGGCCAGCCCAACAAGUUUCCUGGUCGAUUUACAGGGCCAGGUUUACUAAAUAUCCUUUCGUAAGCUUCAUGGCAGCCAUCUUUCUCAAAUGAUUGUAAACCAACACAACCUUCACAUACCUGAGAUGACUGUAACAGAAAUAAUCAAAUUUUCAGCCUGCUGUUAAUGUCUUGGAAGCAGAGCUGAUAUAAUGCUACAGGUCAGCAGGAGAGAAAAGAAAGAAGGAAUUGCUGCUGAUCCAAAUAUUGACACUAAAAUGAAGACAAUCUCAGUUGAAGGACAAAAGAAAAACCUCCAGACUGACUACAUUUUGAAGUAAAUUUCUGUACUAAAUAUUGGUUUUCAUAUAGAUAUUUAAGCCCUGAGAACUAAUUGGAUUAAAACAAUUAGCUGUCAUGAUUUCUCUCUGCUUUUGAUCUUUCAA
Long non-coding RNA from Rosa rugosa (rugosa rose), 619 nucleotides. RefSeq lists it as uncharacterized. Lineage: Eukaryota; Viridiplantae; Streptophyta; Magnoliopsida; Rosales; Rosaceae. The transcript is spliced from 4 exons. The record is from RefSeq and is a predicted model, not a curated record.